GUGGGGAAUAUUGGGCAAUGGGCGAAAGCCUGACCCAGCAACGCCGCGUGAAGGAAGAAGGUUUUCGGAUCGUAAACUUCUAUCCUUGGUGAAGAUAAUGACGGUAGCCAAGAAGGAAGCCCCGACUAACUACGUGCCAGCAGCCGCGGUAAUACGUAGGGGGCAAGCGUUGUCCGGAAUGAUUGGGCGUAAAGGGCGCGUAGGCGGCCUGGUAAGUCUGGAGUGAAAGUCCUGCUUUUAAGGUGGGAAUUGCUUUGGAUACUGUCGGGCUUGAGUGCAGGAGAGGUAAGUGGAAUUCCCGGUGUAGCGGUGAAAUGCGUAGAGAUCGGGAGGAACACCAGUGGCGAAGGCGACUUACUGGACUGUAACUGACGCUGAGGCGAGAAAGUGUGGGGAGCAAACAGGAUUAGAAACCCGUGUAGUCC
Molecule: ribosomal RNA, 425 nt
Filed under: uncultured bacterium
Lineage: Bacteria
Description: partial 16S ribosomal RNA
Rfam family: Bacterial small subunit ribosomal RNA
Source: RNAcentral